GGCGGCAUGCCUUACACAUGCAAGUCGAACGGUAACAGGUUAAGCUGACGAGUGGCGAACGGGUGAGUAAUAUAUCGGAACGUGCCCAGUAGUGGGGGAUAGCCCGGCGAAAGCCGGAUUAAUACCGCAUACGACCUACGGGUGAAAGGGGGGGAUCGCAAGACCUCUCGCUAUUGGAGCGGCCGAUAUCAGAUUAGCUAGUUGGUGGGGUAAAAGCCCACCAAGGCGACGAUCUGUAGCUGGUCUGAGAGGACGACCAGCCACACUGGGACUGAGACACGGCCCAGACUCCUACGGGAGGCAGCAGUGGGGAAUUUUGGACAAUGGACGAAAGUCUGAUCCAGCCAUGCCGCGUGCGGGAAGAAGGCCUUCGGGUUGUAAACCGCCUUUGUCAGGGAAGAAAUCCUUUGAGUUAAUACCUCGGGGGGAUGACGGUACCUGAAGAAUAAGCACCGGCUAACUACGUGCCAGCAGCCGCGGUAAUACGUAGGGUGCAAGCGUU
RNAcentral lists this ribosomal RNA (502 nucleotides) under uncultured beta proteobacterium. RNAcentral's name for it is "bacterial SSU rRNA". It matches the Rfam family "Bacterial small subunit ribosomal RNA", at positions 38 to 542 of the family's 1533-position model. Lineage: Bacteria; Pseudomonadati; Pseudomonadota; Betaproteobacteria. The record is from RNAcentral.